Molecule: long non-coding RNA, 363 nt
Filed under: Pan troglodytes (chimpanzee)
Lineage: Eukaryota; Metazoa; Chordata; Mammalia; Primates; Hominidae
Description: lincRNA
Source: RNAcentral
UUUCUAGUAUAAAUAAAAACUACUCAUCUCCAGAAAAUAAACAAUGACUGCUAAGAUGAUUGAAAAAAGAAAGGAGAAGAAAGUAGCUUGUAAAAGCGUGUGAAAUUCAUUCACGUUGGAAUCUCCUACAGGCACUUCAGGUCAAAGACUCCCAAUGUCCAGAUCAUAAUGCGAGGACAGUUUGAGCCCAGUGCUCUCUGACUGAGGUAGAACCCCCGGGAAGGUGAAGAGGGCAGCCCUCUGCGAAACAGCCCAGCAUUUAAGAAUGGGCAGCACUUGCCCAGGUGCAUUUGAGAACUAGGAAUGUGGCAACAAUAACAUUUAUUUAUUUGGAUGAAGAGAAGAAGACGUAUUGGAUUCCCU